Molecule: ribosomal RNA, 468 nt
Filed under: uncultured bacterium
Lineage: Bacteria
Description: partial 16S ribosomal RNA
Rfam family: Bacterial small subunit ribosomal RNA
Source: RNAcentral
GACGAACGCUGGCGGCGUGCUUAACACAUGCAAGUCGAACGGAAAGGCCCUGCUUUUGUGGGGUGCUCGAGUGGCGAACGGGUGAGUAACACGUGAGUCACCUGCCCUUGACUUUGGGAUAACUUCAGGAAACUGGGGCUAAUACCGGAUAGGAGCUCCUGCUGCAUGGUGGGGGUUGGAAAGUUUCGGCGGUUGGGGAUGGACUCGCGGCUUAUCAGCUUGUUGGUGGGGUAGUGGCUUACCAAGGCUUUGACGGGUAGCCGGCCUGAGAGGGUGACCGGCGACAUUGGGACUGAGAUACGGCCCAGACUCCUACGGGAGGCAGCAGUGGGGAAUAUUGCACAAUGGGCGGAAGCCUGAUGCAGCAACGCCGCGUGCGGGAUGACGGCCUUCGGGUUGUAAACCGCUUUCGCCUGUGACGAAGCGUGAGUGACGGUAAUGGGUAAAGAAGCACCGGCUAACUACGUG